UCCCAGGUGGCUCAGAUGACAAAGAAUCUGACUGCAAUGCAGGUGACCCAGGUUCGAUCCCUGGGUUGGGAA
This 72-nucleotide transfer RNA is filed under the name Bos taurus (domestic cattle). It matches the Rfam family "tRNA". From Rfam's summary of the family: Transfer RNA (tRNA) molecules are approximately 80 nucleotides in length. Their secondary structure includes four short double-helical elements and three loops (D, anti-codon, and T loops). Further hydrogen bonds mediate the characteristic L-shaped molecular structure. tRNAs have two regions of fundamental functional importance: the anti-codon, which is responsible for specific mRNA codon recognition, and the 3' end, to which the tRNAs corresponding amino acid is attached (by aminoacyl-tRNA synthetases). tRNAs cope with the degeneracy of the genetic code in two manners: having more than one tRNA (with a specific anti-codon) for a particular amino acid; and 'wobble' base-pairing, i.e. permitting non-standard base-pairing at the 3rd anti-codon position. The record is from Rfam by way of RNAcentral. RNAcentral also lists the same sequence under 2 other names. Lineage: Eukaryota; Metazoa; Chordata; Mammalia; Artiodactyla; Bovidae.